This 739-nucleotide unclassified non-coding RNA is filed under the name Hevea brasiliensis (rubber tree). Lineage: Eukaryota; Viridiplantae; Streptophyta; Magnoliopsida; Malpighiales; Euphorbiaceae. The record is from RNAcentral.
UUCUCACUGGUUGCUUCGGCUCUCUCUUCCUCUUCCCUUUCUUCAUUCUUAUUUCCGUUCAAGGGCCACAACGCCGGCGUACCUCACACCUCCUCCCUUAGGCGACACUGGUAGGAGCUCCAGGCGGCAAGGACACCAUCAGUGGGCGAAGCAGCCGCGUUUUUCGACAAUGGCAGCAGCUCUAACGGCAGGCGAAGAGAGAGAAAUGCUAAAACUUCUCCGGUCAAUUCCGGGCUAUUCUAACCUCAAUUUCAUGUGAGACGAGUGGCUAUGGACUCCUGACGAAACGGGCUCCCUUUUCUGAUCAUCGGUGUCGCAAACCAUCAUCGGAUUUGCCCAAAUCGAGGAGAGAGAAAAAUGAGCAUUUUCGACCUUUUCGACCACUUUUCCGGCGAUUUGACCGUUGGAUCGAAAAUCUGAGACCACCAAUGGACUCAGGCCGACGAAAUCUUCGAGAUAGGACUGGUCUCGCUCCGAUCGAACAUCAUUUGAAAAAGGCGAUAAUCGGACAGUCCAAAUCGCUUUGUGCAACCGGAUCGAGGAUAGCUCACUAGAGUCGGGAUCACAUUUUCAGCCGGAUCCGACAGCCCGUCUCAGAACGUGAUUGAUAUUAUAGUCAAUUCUAACAUUUUUAAACAUUCUGGACGCGUUCCAAGUGUCAGAAUUGAUAUAGGUAAAUCCGAACUCCAAGUUGCUUAUUUCCGGCUAAUACCGAUUUAAAAUAAAAUUCAUAAAAUAU